UACGUAGGGUGCAAGCGUUUGUCCGGAAUUAUUGGGCGUAAAGAGCUCGUAGGCGGUUUGUCGCGUCGACUGUGAAAACCCGAGGCUUAACCUCGGGCCUGCAGUCGAUACUGUCGGACUAGAGUACAGAAGGGGCAACUGGGAAUUCUCGGUGUAGCGGUGAAAUGCGUAGAUAUCGAGAGGAACACCUGCGGCGAAGGCGGGUUGCUGGGCUGAUACUGACGCUGAGGCGCGAAAGCCAGGGGGAGCGAACGGG
Molecule: ribosomal RNA, 256 nt
Filed under: uncultured bacterium
Lineage: Bacteria
Description: partial 16S ribosomal RNA
Rfam family: Bacterial small subunit ribosomal RNA
Source: RNAcentral